This 456-nucleotide ribosomal RNA is filed under the name uncultured bacterium. RNAcentral's name for it is "bacterial SSU rRNA". It matches the Rfam family "Bacterial small subunit ribosomal RNA", at positions 340 to 786 of the family's 1533-position model. The record is from RNAcentral.
UACGGGAAGGCAGCAGUGGGGAAUAUUGCACAAUGGGCGAAAGCCUGAUGCAGCUAUGCCGCGUGUAUGAAGAAGGCCUUAGGGUUGUAAAGUACUUUCAUCGGGGAGGAAAAAACAAAACUAAUAAUUUUAUUUCUUGACGUUACCCGAAAAAGAAGCACCGGCUAACUCCGUGCCAGCAGCCGCGGUAAUACGGAGGGUGCUAGCGUUAAUCAGAAUUACUGGGCGUAAAGAGCACGUAGGUGGUUUUUUUAAGUCAGAUGUGAAAUCCCUGGGCUUAACCUAGGAACUGCAUUUUGAAACUGAAAUACUAGAGUAUCGUAGAGGGAGGUAGAAUUCUAGGUGUAGCGGUGAAAUGCGUAGAUAUCUGGAGGAAUACCUGUGCGAAAGCGGCCUCCUAAACGAAUACUGACACUGAGGUGCGAAAGCGUGGGGAGCAAACAGGGAUUAGAUACC